AUUGAACGCUGGCGGCAGGCCUAACACAUGCAAGUCGAGCGAGUGGCGGACGGGUGAGUAAUGUAUGGGGAACUGCCUGAUGGAGGGGGAUAACUACUGGAAACGGUAGCUAAUACCGCAUACCAUCGGAUGUACCCAUAUGGGAUUAGCUAGUAGGUGGGGUAAAGGCUCACCUAGGCGACGAUCCCUAGCUGGUCUGAGAGGAUGACCAGCCACACUGGGACUGAGACACGGCCCAGACUCCUACGGGAGGCAGCAGUGGGGAAUAUUGCACAAUGGGCGCAAGCCUGAUGCAGCCAUGCCGCGUGUAUGAAGAAGGCCUUAGGGUUGUAAAGUACUUUCAGCGGGGAGGCGUUACCCGCAGAAGAAGCACCGGCUAACUCCGUGCCAGCAGCCGCGGUAAUAC
This 406-nucleotide ribosomal RNA is filed under the name uncultured bacterium. RNAcentral's name for it is "partial 16S ribosomal RNA". It matches the Rfam family "Bacterial small subunit ribosomal RNA", at positions 30 to 526 of the family's 1533-position model. The record is from RNAcentral.